UCCAGGUUUCUGUGCGAAUCAGCUUUGUGUC
This 31-nucleotide non-coding RNA is filed under the name Mus musculus (house mouse). Lineage: Eukaryota; Metazoa; Chordata; Mammalia; Rodentia; Muridae. The record is from RNAcentral.